Molecule: non-coding RNA, 98 nt
Filed under: unclassified sequences
Description: DUF3800-V RNA
Rfam family: DUF3800-V RNA
Source: Rfam by way of RNAcentral
UAGUAUUGAGCGGUAAGUCCGUUGUAGGUUCCUCCAGUGUUUCCAUCCAUAGGUUGGCCAAGCUGGAGGGGUCCAAGCUUGCACGGCGCGCUCUUUUG